Molecule: ribosomal RNA, 496 nt
Filed under: uncultured bacterium
Lineage: Bacteria
Description: partial 16S ribosomal RNA
Rfam family: Bacterial small subunit ribosomal RNA
Source: RNAcentral
GAUGAACGCUGGCGGCGUGCCUAAUACAUGCAAGUCGAGCGAACAGACGAGGAGCUUGCUCCUCUGAUGUUAGCGGCGGACGGGUGAGUAACACGUGGAUAACCUACCUAUAAGACUGGGAUAACUUCGGGAAACCGGAGCUAAUACCGGAUAACAUGUUGAACCGCAUGGUUCAACAGUGAAAGACGGUCUUGCUGUCACUUAUAGAUGGAUCCGCGCCGCAUUAGCUAGUUGGUAAGGUAACGGCUUACCAAGGGAACGAUGCGUAGCCGACCUGAGAGGGAGAUCGGCCACACUGAACGUGAGGCACGGUCCAGCCUCACACGGGAGGAAGCAGGCGGUAAUCUACAGCAAUGGGCGAAAGCAAGACGGAGCCACGCAGCGUGAGUGAAGAAGGACUUCGGAUCGUAAAGCUCUCUUAUUAGAGAAGAACAAAUGUGUAAGUAACUAUGCACGUCUUGACGGUACCUAAUCAGAAAGCCCCGGCUAAUUACGU